This 345-nucleotide ribosomal RNA is filed under the name Colophon haughtoni. Its description in RNAcentral is "partial 16S ribosomal RNA". The record is from RNAcentral. Lineage: Eukaryota; Metazoa; Arthropoda; Insecta; Coleoptera; Lucanidae.
AUGGCCGCGGUAUUUUGACCGUGCAAAGGUAGCAUAAUCAUUAGUUUUUUAAUUGAAAGCUGGAAUGAAUGGUUGGACAAGAAAAUUUCUGUCUCUAUUUAAUUUUUUAGAAUUUUAUUUUUUAGUAAGAAAGCUUAAAUUUUUUUAAGGGACGAGAAGACCCUAUAGAAUUUUACAUAUAUUAAGGUUUUCAAUUUUUAGGAUAAUUAUUUUGGAAUUUAUUUUAUAUGUUUUGUUGGGGUGAUAGAAAAAUUUAAAUAACUUUUUUUUAUUUCAAUCAUUGAUUAAUGAAUAUUUGAUCCAUUUAUUGGGAUUAUAAGAUUAAAUUACCUUAGGGAUAACAGC